CAGAGUUUCGUAAAUAUGGCAUGACUGAAUUCCCACCGAACAGUUCACAGAUAUUCUCCACCCACCCAAAAGAGACAUUCUUUAAUAUCUAUAUUACUACUAUGUCAAUCAAUUAAUGGCCUCUCUCUCUCUCCCCUCCAUCUUCAACUUCCAGCUACUAUCUCCCAGAAGCCUGCAACACAGUGCACAGUCAAUUUACUUCUUUACCGCUCACGGUUUCCUGAGAAAGCGCACACACACAAUUAUACCAUUACCACACCAUGCCAUCCAUUUUUCAUCAUUUCUUUUGGCACUCAGUCUCAAAACCAGCAGCUUUCCCUUUCAACAAAUUAGUCUCGACCUUCCUUCCAAUGUCUUGGUUCUAACUCGCAAGAACCCACCUUCAGACAGGUAUUAUUGUUAUUUCUACUCGUAAGCUCUGUUAUUAGGUUUUAAUGGACUUCAUAUGCCCCAAGUGGUGUUUUUCUUUAGCUUUGGCGGUGGGGUGGGUUCUUUAUUGGGUGGGUUUUAUUGAUGCUGCAGAUGCCACAGAAAUUGUGCAUUAAUGGUGCUUCGAGCUUAAUUGGAAUUGACUGUCUGAGAUUUAGGGAGGGGUGUAACUUAAUCUUUGGUUCUUUCUUCGCCAUAACUUUCUUCUUCAGACCUUUGGUUUCCCUGCAACCCAAUACAGAUGAAUCCUUCCUCUUCGAAUUCUUCUCCAAAAUGGGCCUAAAUCCCCUGCAAGAUCACGACUUUUCUGUGUCCUUAUGCUCCUGGAGAGGCGUCGAUUGUGACAAAAAUGGGGAGCACAUUGUCGGCCUGAAUGCCUCCGGAUUGGGUCUCUCCGGCGCCAUUUCUGAAACCACCAUUGGCAAAUUGGUGAAGCUUCGGACUUUGGAUCUCAGCCGCAACAAUAUCACUUCUCUGCCGUCGGAUUUCUGGAGCUUGAGCUCCCUCGUCGUCCUCAACCUCUCGCACAACAUAAUCGCCGGAAGCUUCUCCAACAACGUCGGAAAUUUCGGAGGGCUUCAAAUCUUGGACCUUUCUUACAACGAUUUGUCAGGGAGCAUCCCCGAAGCCAUCAGUUCCCUCGGGAGUUUGAAGCUCCUGAAUCUCAGCCACAAUGGGUUCGAAUCCACUGUUCCCUUGGGGAUUUCUCAUUGCCACGAAUUGGUUUACCUCGAUCUGUCCGGGAACAAUCUCCAUGGCCAUCUUCCUGAUAGCUUCGGCCAGGCGUUCCCCCGGUUGGAAUUCUUGAACCUCGCCGGGAACAGGAUCGCCGGCAGGGCGUCGGACCUUUCGGGAUUGGGAAUGAUUAGGUAUAUCAAUGUUUCUGGGAACAUGUUUGAUGGCAGUGUUGUUGGUGUUUUUGAAGGGCCGUUGGAAGUUGUUGAUUUGAGCUGGAACCAGUUCCAUGGCCACAUUGCUCGGGUUAACUUCAACUCUGAUUUCGAUUGGUGGAGGUUGAUCUAUUUGGACUUGUCUGGUAAUCAGUUGAGCGGUGAUUUUGAUUUCACCGGCGCCGGAGGUCUUAAACACCUCAAUCUUGCGGAUAAUCGGUUUUCCAGACAGCGAUUCUUUCGAGUCGACAUGCUAGCUGAUUUAGAGUAUCUGAAUUUGUCUCGUACCAAUUUGAUCGGGGAGAUUCCUAGCAAUAUCUCGCAGUUAAGUAGUUUGAAAAUGCUCGAUCUUUCGCAUAAUCAUCUCGACGGCCGGAUUCCUCCGCUUGCUACGGCGAACCUCAAAGUUCUCGACCUCUCUUACAACAAUUUGACCGGCGACAUUCCUUUGAUGCUUAUGGGAGAGCUCCAAGGAAUGGAAAGAUUCAAUUUUUCUUACAACAACCUAAGCUUCUGCGGAUCAAGAUUCAAUCUUGAAACUGUUGAAGCAUCGUUCAUCGGAUCGAUCAACAGCUGCCCCAUUGCUGCGAAUCCCGAUUUCUUCCAGAAAAAAUCUUCCAAGCAUCGCGGACUAAAGCUCGCUCUGGCGCUGAGUCUCUCGCUCGUUUGCCUGCUUGUGGGGUUGCUGUUCUUGGCAUUCCGGUGCAGAAGGAAACCGACCCGAAUGUGGGCCGUGAAGCAAAGUUCUUACAGGGAAGAACAAUCCGUCUCGGGACCCUUUUCGUUCCAGACGGAUUCGACCACUUGGGUAGCCGAUGUUAAGCAAGCAACGUCUGUCCCUGUGGUGAUUUUUGAAAAGCCAUUGCUGAAUUUCACCUUCGCCGAUCUGUUGUCGGCAACAUCGCACUUCGAUCGGGGGACAUUGUUAGCCGAAGGAAAGUUCGGCCCGGUUUACGGCGGCCUCUUGCCGGGAGGCAUUCACGUCGCGGUUAAAGUUUUGGUCCACGGCUCGACCCUGACGGACCUCGAAGCUGCAAGAGAAUUCGAGCAUCUCGGCCGGAUCAAGCACCCGAAUCUCGUCCCGUUGACCGGAUAUUGCUUAGCCGGCGAACAGAGGAUCGCCAUCUACGAAUACAUGGAAAACGGAAACCUCCAAAACUUGCUCCAUGAUUUGCCGCUAGGCGUCCAAACCCCCGAAGACUGGAGCACCGACACGUGGGACGAUGACAACGAGAAUCACGGGAUACAAAAUGUGGGUCCGGAAGGUUCCCACGCGACAUGGCGUUUCCGGCACAAGAUCGCACUCGGCACCGCCCGUGCAUUGGCGUUCCUCCACCACGGCUGCUCGCCGCCUAUAAUCCACAGAGACGUCAAGGCGAGCAGCGUGUACCUCGAUUCCAAUUUAGAGCCGAGGCUGUCUGACUUCGGGCUCGCCAAGAUCUUCGGAAACGGCCUCGACGACGAGUUUGCGCGCGGAUCGCCGGGGUACGUCGCGCCGGAAUUCCUUCGGCCGGAGAGUGGCUCCCCGCCAACCCCUACCCCGAAAUCGGACGUCUACGCAUUCGGUGUCAUUCUUCUCGAGCUAGUCACCGGAAAGAAGCCGAUGGGCGACUCUUAUCCCGACGACAAAGACGGGUGCUUAGUGAGCUGGGUUCGGGUGCUCGUGAGGCGAAACCGAACAAUGGAAGGGAUCGAUCCGAAGAUCCGCGGAACGGGACCGGAGGGGCAGAUGGCGGAGGCGCUGAAGAUCGGGUAUCUUUGCAGCGCCGAAGCUCCGGCGAAGAGGCCGAGCAUGCAACAAGUGGUCGGACUACUAAAGGAUCUCGAACAGAUUCGGGUUUAGAAAGAAAGGUUAUUACAUUGGUUGUGUGUCGUAACUUGCAAGUAACUUAAGGCCACGCUUCAGUCACAUUAUAUUUUGCCAUUAAGGCUAAGGUUGACCUUCUGUUUUAUUUCUACAUCAUUUCUUGCUUCUCUAACAUCGAUCCAUUAGGAUUUUUUUGUUAAAAAGCUGUAAUCAGAAUUGUUUUAAGUUAUUAAUUCAUUUAGAUACCUUAUGAUAAAUAUGCUGCUUGCUUAGCCCUAACCCUACUUUGGAUAAAGCAAAUCCAUCCGUCCACUAAAAGGUGAAAAAUAGAGAGUACACGCUACUGCGGUUGAACCCUAAACACUGUGAGUCCGCAGACGACCGACUGAGAGAAAGAGGAA
Andrographis paniculata is the source of this 3527-nucleotide RNA transcript. It is a transcript of the gene named probable LRR receptor-like serine/threonine-protein kinase At2g24230, with no coding region annotated. The record is from RefSeq and is a predicted model, not a curated record. Lineage: Eukaryota; Viridiplantae; Streptophyta; Magnoliopsida; Lamiales; Acanthaceae. The transcript is spliced from 3 exons.